AUUGAACGCUAGCGGGAUGCUUUACACAUGCAAGUCGAACGGAGUGGCGGACGGGUGAGUAAUAUAUCGGAACGUGCCCAGUAGCGGGGGAUAACUACUAGAAAGAGUGGCUAAUACCGCAUACUAUUCGAGCUGCCGAUAUCUGAUUAGCUAGUUGGUGGGGUAACGGCUCACAAAGGCCACGAUCCGUAGCUGGUUUGAGAGGACGACCAGCCACACUGGGACUGAGACACGGCCCAGACGCCUACGGUAGGCAGCAGUGGGGAAUUUUGGACAAUGGGGGAAGCCCUGAUCCAGCCAUCCCGCGUGUAUGAUGAAGGCCUUCGGGUUGUAAAGUACUUUUGGCAGAGAAGCGGUAUCUUCUUAAUAAGCACCGGCUAACGACGUGCUAGCAGCCGCGGUAAUAC
RNAcentral lists this ribosomal RNA (407 nucleotides) under uncultured bacterium. RNAcentral's name for it is "partial 16S ribosomal RNA". It matches the Rfam family "Bacterial small subunit ribosomal RNA", at positions 30 to 526 of the family's 1533-position model. The record is from RNAcentral.